Molecule: non-coding RNA, 93 nt
Organism: Armillaria nabsnona
Lineage: Eukaryota; Fungi; Basidiomycota; Agaricomycetes; Agaricales; Physalacriaceae
Source: the annotation of a GenBank genome assembly
GCAUUAAUGGGGUAGUGGUAACCUGGGUCGUUGCCAUCAUAAUGCUGUGGGGUAGAUAUCGACCCGCCGGGGGUUCGAUUCCCUCUUAAUGCA